AGCUCAGUCAGUAGAGCAUGAGACUAUUAUUCUCAGGGUUGUGGGUUUGUGCCCCAC
This 57-nucleotide transfer RNA is filed under the name Erinaceus europaeus (western European hedgehog). It matches the Rfam family "tRNA", at positions 9 to 63 of the family's 71-position model. From Rfam's summary of the family: Transfer RNA (tRNA) molecules are approximately 80 nucleotides in length. Their secondary structure includes four short double-helical elements and three loops (D, anti-codon, and T loops). Lineage: Eukaryota; Metazoa; Chordata; Mammalia; Eulipotyphla; Erinaceidae. The record is from Rfam by way of RNAcentral.